ACGGGGGGUGCUAGCGUUGUUCGGAAUCAUUGGGCGUAAAGAGCGUGUAGGCGGCUGGAUAAGUCAGAUGUGAAAGCCCUGGGCUUAACCCAGGAAGUGCAUUUGAAACUGUUCAGCUUGAGUAAGGGAGAGGAAAGUGGAAUUCCUGGUGUAGAGGUGAAGUUCGUAGAGAUCAGGAGGAGCACCGGUGGCGAAGGCAGCUUACUGGACCUAUACUGACGCUGAGACGCGAUAGCGUGUUUAGCUAACAG
This 251-nucleotide ribosomal RNA is filed under the name uncultured prokaryote. Its description in RNAcentral is "partial 16S rRNA". It matches the Rfam family "Bacterial small subunit ribosomal RNA", at positions 525 to 775 of the family's 1533-position model. The record is from RNAcentral.